RNAcentral lists this ribosomal RNA (847 nucleotides) under uncultured bacterium. RNAcentral's name for it is "bacterial SSU rRNA". It matches the Rfam family "Bacterial small subunit ribosomal RNA", at positions 49 to 868 of the family's 1533-position model. The record is from RNAcentral.
UCGAGCGAGCUUGCCUAGAUGAAUUUGGUGCUUGCACCAGAUGAAACUAGAUACAAGCGAGCGGCGGACGGGUGAGUAACACGUGGGUAACCUGCCCAAGAGACUGGGAUAACACCUGGAAACAGAUGCUAAUACCGGAUAACAACACUAGACGCAUGUCUAGAGUUUAAAAGAUGGUUCUGCUAUCACUCUUGGAUGGACCUGCGGUGCAUUAGCUAGUUGGUAAGGUAACGGCUUACCAAGGCAAUGAUGCAUAGCCGAGUUGAGAGACUGAUCGGCCACAUUGGGACUGAGACACGGCCCAAACUCCUACGGGAGGCAGCAGUAGGGAAUCUUCCACAAUGGACGCAAGUCUGAUGGAGCAACGCCGCAUGAGUGAAGAAGGGUUUCGGCUCGUAAAGCUCUGUUGGUAGUGAAGAAAGAUAGAGGUAGUAACUGGCCUUUAUUUGACGGUAAUUACUUAGAAAGUCACGGCUAACUACGUGCCAGCAGCCGCGGUAAUACGUAGGUGGCAAGCGUUGUCCGGAUUUAUUGGGCGUAAAGCGAGUGCAGGCGGUUCAAUAAGUCUGAUGUGAAAGCCUUCGGCUCAACCGGAGAAUUGCAUCAGAAACUGUUGAACUUGAGUACAGAAGAGGAGAGUGGAACUCCAUGUGUAGCGGUGGAAUGCGUAGAUAUAUGGAAGAACACCAGUGGCGAAGGCGGCUCUCUGGUCUGCAACUGACGCUGAGGCUCGAAAGCAUGGGUAGCGAACAGGAUUAGAUACCCUGGUAGUCCAUGCCGUANACGAUGAGUGCUAAGUGUUGGGAGGUUUCCGCCUCUCAGUGCUGCAGCUAACGCAUUAAGCACU